UCAAGGACAAAAGAUUUAAAAUAUUCUAUUUAAUAGAAUGAUAUAUCAUUAUUUCUGGUCCAAAUUGCCACAGUUAAUUGUAAAAGUUAAAAGGUUUGGAAUUUGCAGCAGGUUACAUAUAUAUCUGCCAUUUACGUACGGAUUCCUUUAUCCAUUAAUUAUGGGGGAUCCUGUUCUUGGACAAGCCAAACUAUAUAUGACAAAGCCAUUUGUAAUCUAUCAUAUAAGAAAAGUCUACCAUUUCCUCAUCUCUAACCUAUGCCACAUCAACAACCUUUCUCUCAAUUUUCCACAUCAGCUUUCUCAAAAUUAAAUUCUUCCUCCAUUAUAUUAGACAGUUUUUCCUCUUCCACGUUAAUUCCCAUAUUGUGGGUUGUUGUAGUUUAAUCCUCAUAACUGCCCUUAAACCAUCCUCUUCCAAAUUCCAAAACCGUUCAAAAAAUUAUUAGUGUAGCCCCAUUCUUCUUCUUCUUUCACGAUCCAUUUCCCCCAAAUUCCUUUUCACUUUGCCUCAUAAUUAUGUUUCCCAAAUUCCUUUUCGCUUUUCCUUUACAAAUUCUUAGUAUCAAAACACUGUAUUCAAAUAUAAUUACAGAAAUGACAAAACUUACCACAAAUGGAGAGUUCUAUGUGCGAAUCAGAGGGAUCCCGAUUGAAGAUUUGCGUUGGGCUGUAUGUACGUGAUGGUGGAAGACGUCGGUUCUGGGUGGAUCGCGGCCGUAGCCGCUGAUGAUGGUGGUGGUCUACGUGGGUUAUCACGGUUUGAAGCGGCAUGAUGUGGAGGUUACGCCUGGUGUUUCGUCGGAAACGUUGGUAGUUCUCCCGUGUGUUUUCGGAUCUGUUUUGGUUCCUUCUAUACGACUAUUUUUUUAUUAUUUUUUCUUUUUUACUCUAUUGUGUUGUAACUUGCAGGUUGCAUCUCAUAAUCAUUUUUCCAGGUUUUUUGAAUUCGAUUGAUUAAUGAUGAUUGUUGGUAUACAGUUGUUAUUCUGUUUUGAUGCAGGUUUUUGUGUGUAGUUUGGUGAAAGUUAUAUAGCAACGUGAGUGUAGGGUGAUCAUGGUGGUGCAAGGGCGGUCUCUUAAAGGAUGAUGCUGAUUGGGAAAGGUUAGGAGUGAAAGCGGGUCAAAAGCUAAUGAUGAUGGGAAGUACCGAUGAAAUUGUGAAAACUCCAGAGAAAGGAACAGUUUUUGUUGAAGAUCUUCCUGAAGAAGAACAAGUAGCUGCUGUUUGUAGAUCAAAGAAUGUUAAUCUGAUUGCUCCACUCCGAAGUCAACGUUCAAUUCUUCCAAAAGAAGAAUCAACAGAAUUCAGCAGUCAAGUCACAAUUAAUGUUGCAAUUGAAUACAAAUUGAUUUCUAUGGAUUUGUUGGUUGGUUAUCAUUUUUGUGUUCAGAUUCAUUAUUUACCAGGUUUUGGCAUUGUUGUGUGGCGUCCCGUUUCAGAAGUGGUUUGUUGGAAGCUUAGCAGUGCAUCUAUGGUGCAAUAGGUCUGAUUGCACAUGUUUCUUUUAAACUCUAUUGUGUUCAGAAAAACCAAGUACUUCAUAUGAUGCUGAUAGCGGUAUGGCUCCACCACACCUUGAUGAUUGUCUCAAAAUCAAUGUUAAGUCUUCAAAGUUGAUGACAAUGAUGAUGAAUAAAAUUCCUGCAACAGUCCUCCUUCCAUACAUAUUCAUGAUGAUGAAAUGAACUUAAAAAAUCUCAUUUGUUGUGCACCUGCUGUUGUAAGCUUCUUUGGAAUUCUACUUCUUUUUUUUGGAUUCCAGUUAUUUGACUUGAAAUACACUGCACAAUUUAGUUUCUUCAGUGAACUUUCAAAUGCAAGAAAUGUUAUCUCA
Molecule: long non-coding RNA, 1838 nt
Organism: Vicia villosa (hairy vetch)
Lineage: Eukaryota; Viridiplantae; Streptophyta; Magnoliopsida; Fabales; Fabaceae
Exons: 5
Source: RefSeq, a predicted model, not a curated record